RNAcentral lists this long non-coding RNA (703 nucleotides) under Homo sapiens (human). Its description in RNAcentral is "HSALNT0245069". The record is from RNAcentral. Lineage: Eukaryota; Metazoa; Chordata; Mammalia; Primates; Hominidae.
UCAGAGCUGGGAGGCCCCACCUGCCUGUGGUUCUUUCACAAGCAAGCUGAGAAAGGAGCCAGCUCCAGCUCUGGGAGUCCUUCUGCCCUGGAAGCCUGACCCAGGCUCCCGGAACACCCACUCAGCUCUGGACAGAACGGGGGCAUGGUGGGGGCAGAUGACUUCUUCAGGGCCCUCCCAGGGUCGACGUGAAGCCGACAGGCUCUGCUGACUGCUUGGUUUCAAUUUCUGGCUCUGCCAUUUGCUCAUAAAUAGUGCCAGGUUGUUCCGUAAGACAGGAUGGCACAGAGCUUUAAGCAACAGCUCUGGCAUCUGACUUCCGUGUUUGCAUCUGGCUUUGAGUGUGACUUUGGACAAGUUCCUUAGCUGGCCAGAUACUCUUGUCCUCAUCCAUAAGAUGGAGCAACAACGAAGCCUUUCUCAUAGGUUAUUGUGAGGAUUGAAUGAAUUAGUAUAUGCCAAGCAUUUGAAGCAGUGCCUGACAUGUAGUAGAUGCUGAGUAACACUGGGGAUCUGCCUUUUCUUUUUCCUCUAUGUGACUGGCAGCCUUAGCCAGACCACAUCAGCUGAGAUGAUUUUCUCUGUAAGUUACCAGGAUCACCUAGAUCUGGCCAAGGACUUGCCCCUGUAAGGAAAUUUGGAAUAAGCAAAAAAGAUCACUAGGUGUCGCCGAUGGAAAACUAGGUUGUUUUGAGCAUACCUU